Molecule: long non-coding RNA, 428 nt
Organism: Harpia harpyja (harpy eagle)
Lineage: Eukaryota; Metazoa; Chordata; Aves; Accipitriformes; Accipitridae
Exons: 3
Source: RefSeq, a predicted model, not a curated record
CUUUAAAGGAGUUGGUACCAUUCAGGAAGGGAAGGUCCUGAGCUCGUAGGUCAUGCAUAUAUAUGUGCGUAUACAUUAUUUAUACCCUCCACAUGACAGCUGCUGGCUGUAGCUACAGACUCUCUCCACUGAUGCCUCUCUCUGAGUCAUGGCUGCACAGAGCUCCUUGACAGACCUGGAGGAGACGUGGUAAAAUCCCAAACACGAGUAUUGCAUCAAAGGACCUGGGCCUGCUCUGAAACUGCUGCUGCGUCAGCUGCCCCAAGAUGCGGGAAGGAUAUGUGAGCAUCCUGAUGAAUGCAACAGCCACUUCUGACAGCAGGGUUGUUUUUAGUCCUCAGUUCUUUAAAGUGCCUGAUGAUUUCAUAGCCCCUGUUGAGCCUGACUUGGAGAAGCUGCUGGCCCACCCCCGCUGUGAUCUGGUGUCC